CCCUUAGAUGUUCUGGGCCGCACGCGCGCUACACUGAUGCAUUCAACGAGUUUUUCCUGGUCCGAGAGGAAUGGGUAAUCUUUUGAAAGUGCAUCGUGCUAGGGAUAGACUAUUGCAAUUAUUGGUCUUCAACGAGGAAUUCCUAGUAGACGUAGUUCAUCAGACUGCAUCGAUUACGUCCCUGCCCUUUGUACACACCGCCCGUCGCUCCUACCGAUUGGAUGAUCCGGUGAGCUAUUCGGACCUUCGCUUCGUCGAUUUUCGGCUUUGUGAGGGAAAGUCUCGCGAACCUUAUCAUCUAGAGGAAGGAGAAGUCGUAACA
RNAcentral lists this ribosomal RNA (322 nucleotides) under uncultured eukaryote. RNAcentral's name for it is "partial 18S ribosomal RNA". It matches the Rfam family "Eukaryotic small subunit ribosomal RNA", at positions 1470 to 1796 of the family's 1831-position model. The record is from RNAcentral.